CAGAGUGAGACUCUGUCUCACUCUGUUGCACAGUUUACAACAACAAAACUAUAGCAUCCAUCACAUAGAGGAGAGACUCCCCAACACACAUAUAAGGAUUACUCUCAGCCCCAGCUCCCUCAAACUUCCUAAGAUCAGCACUGGUAUCUGAUGGUGGCUCCUUGUAAAUCAAACUUAAUGGAGUAUGUGUUAUUUGGUUUAUGUUUAUGUGCAGCCUGCAUAACAACCACUCUGUCAACAUCAUGCAUAUGUUCAUUGUGUUGGUACUAGAAGACUCUAUGACACACACAAGCUGAUGUCAUCUGAUGGGUCUAUUUUAUCUACUUGGCUGUGCAAAUCCUCUUCUGUAGUAUAUGCUUUCUGGUGGACACUAAUAUGGAACACAAAGAUCUUCUCACAUUGCAGCUGCUCCCAUAUAUCCAUUGAUAUAUGCCUCUAACUCCAGACCUUUUUGUCCUUAAUCUUCUAAUCCGGUUAUCUCUUUUCCUUUAGUGCAAUUUUUCCUUAUUUGUUUGUUUUGUUUUUUUUUUUAAGUAAAUAGCUAGGCUUCUAAGCCCUACCACAGAGAGUCAACAGACAAACUGCCCAGGGAAAAGUUAUGACCUCAGGCAAAGUGAAUUUCUACAGCUAAGGCAGAUCCUGAAGAAGCUCACAAAUAAAGGCUGCAUACUCACACAUUCCCUGAAGCUUGACAGUGCCAGCCACCAUACUGUGAGGGAGCUGAAGUAAGCCCACAUGAGGAAGAAUUGAGGUCCCAAGCCAACAGCUGCAGCUAAGAUCCAAGCUCUCAACCAGUACCAGUUCAUCCGUUAUUUCCCAACAAUAUCAAUGAAUAAGAAGGAAGUCUUAAGGCUCCAGGAAUCCCCUCAGGGAGACUAGCUUUCAGAAUUUUAGGCACACUAAGAUAUGGAAGCUAAAAGAGGACUAAGAGGAUUCUGGGGAUAUUACAAGAUAUUGCAGACUAUCUUGUUUUCCUGGAAAAGGAUUUUACCUCAGUCGACUGAAUUACUUUUUUCACUGUGUCUUGCCACUCUUCGUGCAUGCAUCAAAGACCCUAAUAUGACUUCUGGUGGCCUGGGACUCCUUGGGAAAACAGAAAAGGGGCCACAAAUCCCAUUUUGGGAACAAUCUGUUUUACUCAUGGAACCCCUGGAAUUAGAG
RNAcentral lists this long non-coding RNA (1161 nucleotides) under Homo sapiens (human). RNAcentral's name for it is "HSALNT0328571". Lineage: Eukaryota; Metazoa; Chordata; Mammalia; Primates; Hominidae. The record is from RNAcentral.